GUGCUCACUUCAGCAGCACAUGUACUAAAGUUGGAACAAUACAGAGAAGAUUAGCAUGGCCUCUGCACAAUGGACUAAAUUUGGUUUUCUGGCAAAGCUAUAACUAACU
This 109-nucleotide small nuclear RNA is filed under the name Castor canadensis (American beaver). Lineage: Eukaryota; Metazoa; Chordata; Mammalia; Rodentia; Castoridae. The record is from RNAcentral.